Molecule: ribosomal RNA, 305 nt
Filed under: uncultured bacterium
Lineage: Bacteria
Description: partial 16S ribosomal RNA
Rfam family: Bacterial small subunit ribosomal RNA
Source: RNAcentral
ACAGCAGUCGCCGCGGGAAUACGAAGGGUGCAAGCGUUAUCCGGAUUCACUGGGUUUAAAGGGUGCGUAGGCGGGCAGUUAAGUCAGUGGUGAAAUCUCCGGGCUCAACCCGGAAACUGCCGUUGAUACUAUCUGUCUUGAAUGUUGUGGAGGUGAGCGGAAUAUGUCAUGUAGCGGUGAAAUGCUUAGAUAUGACAUAGAACACCGAUUGCGAAGGCAGCUCACUACACAGAAAUUGACGCUGAGGCACGAAAGCGUGGGGAUCAAACAGGAUUAGAUACCCGUGUAGUCCCUGUCUCUUAUAU